GCCAUCAUGGCAGAGUGGUUGUGCUGCUUGAAAAAAACAGUGCUUAUCUCAUCAUAAGUGCAGUGGUCUGGGGUUCUAUUCCCCAUGUUGUAU
Non-coding RNA from Piloderma croceum F 1598, 93 nucleotides. Lineage: Eukaryota; Fungi; Basidiomycota; Agaricomycetes; Atheliales; Atheliaceae. The record is from the annotation of a GenBank genome assembly.